This 408-nucleotide unclassified non-coding RNA is filed under the name uncultured Glomeromycotina. RNAcentral's name for it is "sequence contains 28S rRNA gene". Lineage: Eukaryota; Fungi; Glomeromycota. The record is from RNAcentral.
AGAGUAAAAUAGUGCGUGAAAUUGUUGAAAGGGAAACGAUUGAAGUCAGUCGUACCGACGGACAAUCAGCCUUUUGAGUGCGAUUCUGUGGUGCAUGAGGAGGAAACCCUCAUGUUUUGCAUAUUUGUGCUCUUUGGGUGUAUUUGUUCGUAUGGUGGGUUAACAUCAAUUUUGGUCGUCAUAAAAUGACGGGAGGAAAGUAGCUUUGGUCUCGUAUUGAAGUGUUAUAGCCUCUGGUAGAUGUGACGACCGGGAUUGAGGAUUGCAACGGAUACCCUUUUGGGCUACUCGCCUGAUCUCUGAUCGUUACUCUGGUGCCGAAAGCUCGCUUAUGUCAUCAAAGUUGAUGGUCAAAAGGUUAGAACGGGUUAAAUUCGUUAAGGAUGUUGACGUAAUGGCUUUAAACGA